RNAcentral lists this unclassified non-coding RNA (504 nucleotides) under Hevea brasiliensis (rubber tree). Lineage: Eukaryota; Viridiplantae; Streptophyta; Magnoliopsida; Malpighiales; Euphorbiaceae. The record is from RNAcentral.
GAUAAACUUCAGCAAACUCUGGCACAGAACAUCCUAACUAUGACCACUGGAAUGGGAAGUUACAGUUCUCAAAUGGUUUCUAGUAUGGAAAAGUUAGAAGCACUCGAGAGUUUCGUUAACCAGGCAGAUCACCUUAGACAGCAAACACUACAACAAAUGUCACUUGUCUUGACAACACGCCAAUCAGCCAGGGGGUUACUAGCUUUCGGGGAGUAUCUUCAACGUCUUCGUGCUCUAAGUUCUCUUUGGGCUGCUCGUCCUCGUGAACCUACCUAGCCUUUUACGAGCAAAGCAGACGAAGAUCACUAAGUUUCCUCGAAUGUAAGCUGUUUAACUACGCCUGAACGAGAUGUAUAUGGAAAAUGUAAUCGAAGUCUUGUCUAGAAUUUCAUACUCGGAAAACGCGUAUUAUUCAGGUGGUACCCUGGCAAGUUUCAAGAAUUUUAUGUACAUAGGGAAGGGGGAUGUGUAUAAUUCUAGAAUAAGAACUUGAUGAGAGUAGAG